UCAAAUUAGCAAAAUUGCAUGGAAAUAGACAAAAAUACCCUCAUUCUUCUUAUUGUCCAGAAUUCAUAGCUUCAUCAUCUUGAAGCCCAGAAUACCCUCUUGCCUCUUCCCUAUUCGUACCCCUUUCUUCCUCCCUCUUCCUUUUUUUUUAAUUGGACUUUUUUUUGACAAAUAGAUAGAUUGGACAUAAGUGUGGAAAUGUAAUUCCAACUCUAAACUAGUUUCACUUGGAAAGAGAUGAAUUGCGCUGACUUGAACAUAGACACAUUUAAGUGCAGGAGCAUAAUCAAUGGCUACUGUCAGCGUGAAGCUAAGAAGAUGCUAGAAACUUUGAAAUUAAAGUGGGAACUGUUUAACACACCUCAGCUUCAUCAACAUGUUUCCAACGAUUAGGCCAUCCCAAGUCCGAUCCUCCUCCCUCGCCGGCGUUCUUCCACUCCCUCGAUUCCUCCUCAAUAGAUUGAUUUGGUUUGAUUUACUGAUAUCAGUUGUUACCUCUUUCGUUCAGAUCUCAUUGUGUGUACGAUCCGGAAGGAUUUCAUCGGAGAAAAGAUCCACUUCGCGGUGUUCUCCGGCUGUUGUUGUUUCUGAAUCGGAGGGUGGAGAAGAAGAGGGUGGAUUUUAUGUUGUUAUGGUUUUUUAUGGUGUUUUCUGAAUAGGUUUGUUGUGUGUUCUAUGUUCUUCAAUUGAGAGAUGAAUUUUGGAUUCUUCAAUUUCAGAGGAAGUUGUAGUUGAUAUUGUUGUUGUUGUGACUUCGAUUAAGAUGAAUAUUUUUAUUCUGUUCCAUGCUA
Long non-coding RNA from Medicago truncatula (barrel medic), 791 nucleotides. RefSeq lists it as uncharacterized. The record is from RefSeq and is a predicted model, not a curated record. Lineage: Eukaryota; Viridiplantae; Streptophyta; Magnoliopsida; Fabales; Fabaceae. The transcript has 2 exons.